GGCCGACUAGCUCAGUUGGUUAGAGCGUCGUGCUAAUACUUUAUAUUAACGCAAAGGUUUUGGGUUCGAUCCCCACGUUGGCCA
Molecule: non-coding RNA, 84 nt
Organism: Dendrothele bispora CBS 962.96
Lineage: Eukaryota; Fungi; Basidiomycota; Agaricomycetes; Agaricales
Source: the annotation of a GenBank genome assembly